This is a long non-coding RNA of Oreochromis aureus, 384 nucleotides long. The record is from Ensembl. NCBI's taxonomy places the organism in Eukaryota, Metazoa, Chordata, Actinopteri, Cichliformes, Cichlidae.
AAGAAGGCCCGCUCUCUUUCCAUGUGCUUUUCCUUCGGCUCUUUCUCUACAGUCAUGGUUCAUUCCAGUCUGAGACGUCUCUUCUGGAAGUACAAUCGACACCAGAGCCUUACAAACAUGGGCUGGACCUGCUGCAUCAUUUGGUUUCUGUGGUUUUCAGUGAGCGAGUGCCGGCAGCUGUCCAACACUGAGCCUGUCAUGCACGGACAAAUCCAGUCUCCCCAAUAUCCUCGACCUUAUCCUCCUCACCUGCAAAAGCAAUGGGACCUCUGUAUCUGCUGGUUUCAGAUUUUCAUGGAACGUAAUGAUAUCAGAACAUUUCAGCGCUCUCUUCAGUAAGCAGCUCAGUCUAUUUUCACCCUGAGUACAACAACUCCAGCGGUA